GACGAACGCUGGCGGCGUGCUUAACACAUGCAAGUCGAACGGCAAGGCCCUGCUUUUGUGGGGUGCUCGAGUGGCGAACGGGUGAGUAACACGUGAGUAACCUGCCCUUGACUUUGGGAUAACUUCAGGAAACUGGGGCUAAUCCCGGAUAGCAUCUCCUGCUGCAUGGUGGGGGUUGGAAAGUUUCGGCGGUUGGGGAUGGACUCGCGGCUUAUCAGCUUGUUGGUGGGGUAGUUGCUGACCAAGGCUUUGACGGGUAGCCGGCCUGUGAGGGUGACCGGGCACAUGGGGACUGAGGUACGGAGCAGAGUGCUACGGGAGGCAGCAGGGGGGAAUAUUGCACAAUGGGCGGAAGCCUGAGGCAGCAACGCCGCGUGCGGAAUGACGGCCUUCGGGUUGUAAACCGCUGUAGCCUGUGACGAAGCGGGAGUGACGGUAAUGGGUAAAGAAGCACCGGCUAACUACGUG
This 468-nucleotide ribosomal RNA is filed under the name uncultured bacterium. RNAcentral's name for it is "partial 16S ribosomal RNA". It matches the Rfam family "Bacterial small subunit ribosomal RNA", at positions 28 to 507 of the family's 1533-position model. The record is from RNAcentral.